RNAcentral lists this long non-coding RNA (365 nucleotides) under Musa acuminata (dwarf banana). RNAcentral's name for it is "long non-coding RNA (MACU_LNC008663)". The record is from RNAcentral. Lineage: Eukaryota; Viridiplantae; Streptophyta; Magnoliopsida; Zingiberales; Musaceae.
GGACCUCGCGAGUAACGAGAGCAUCAUGUUAUGUUUCUAAUAUAUACAUGUUAUGUUUCUAAUACAUACUGAGAGUCAUAGCUCUCAACAACACGAUUCUAGUGUCCCCCUAGCUAACGGUAGUUAUUCUUCGUUAUUGUUUUGGUGAUGGAUUGGAGAAUUGUAGUGGGCUAGAUGUCGGUGCUUAGAUUAUUUCUCGAUGACGCCAACCAACCUUAGCUCAACUGGUAGAGUGUUGGAUUGCUGCUGGGUGAUGCCUUAAAGCAAAUCCAUGGUCGACUGUUCGAGUCCGACAGGUCGGUUCACGUAUGGCCCAAACAGGAUGUAUGAAUACAAGAGGCCAAAUCUAUUACGCUUAUUUCACC